RNAcentral lists this ribosomal RNA (253 nucleotides) under uncultured bacterium. RNAcentral's name for it is "partial 16S ribosomal RNA". It matches the Rfam family "Bacterial small subunit ribosomal RNA", at positions 524 to 776 of the family's 1533-position model. The record is from RNAcentral.
UACGUAGGGUGCGAGCGUUGUCCGGAAUUACUGGGCGUAAAGGGCUCGUAGGCGGUUUGUCGCGUCGUCUGUGAAAACCAGCAGCUCAACUGUUGGCUUGCAGGCGAUACGGGCAGACUUGAGUACUGCAGGGGAGACUGGAAUUCCUGGUGUAGCGGUGAAAUGCGCAGAUAUCAGGAGGAACACCGGUGGCGAAGGCGGGUCUCUGGGCAGUAACUGACGCUGAUGAGCGAAAGCGCGGGUAGCGAACAGG